GACGAACGCUGGCGGCGUGCUUAACACAUGCAAGUCGAACGGUGAAGCGCCUUCCUUUUUGGUGGGUGUGGAUGAGUGGCGAACGGGUGAGUAACACGUGAGUAACCUGCCCCCUUCUUCUGGAUAACCGCAUGAAAGUGUGGCUAAUACGGGAUAUUCUGGGUCUGUCGCAUGAUGGGUCUGGGAAAGAUAUUGUUUCGGUGGGGGAUGGGCUCGCGGCCUAUCAGCUUGUUGGUGGGGUGAUGGCCUACCAAGGCGGUGACGGGUAGCCGGCCUGGGAGGGUGGACGGUCACACUGGGACUGAGACACGGCCCAGACUCCUACGGGAGGCAGCAGUGAGGAAUAUUGCACAAUGGGCGCAAGCCUGAUGCAGCGACGCCGCGUGAGGGAUGGAGGCCUUCGGGUUGUGAACCUCUUUCGCCAGUGAAGCAGGCCUGCCUCGUUUGUGGGUGGGUUGACGGUAGCUGGAUAAGAAGCGCCGGCUAACUACGUG
Molecule: ribosomal RNA, 494 nt
Filed under: uncultured bacterium
Lineage: Bacteria
Description: partial 16S ribosomal RNA
Rfam family: Bacterial small subunit ribosomal RNA
Source: RNAcentral